Molecule: ribosomal RNA, 253 nt
Filed under: uncultured bacterium
Lineage: Bacteria
Description: partial 16S ribosomal RNA
Rfam family: Bacterial small subunit ribosomal RNA
Source: RNAcentral
UACGUAGGGUGCGAGCGUUAAUCGGAAUUACUGGGCGUAAAGCGUGCGCAGGCGGUUCUCCAAGUCCGUUGUGAAAGCCCCGGGCUCAACCUGGGAAUGGCAGUGGAAACUAGGGGACUGGAAUCUGGCAGAGGGGGGUGGAAUGCCGCGUGUAGCAGUGAAAUGCGUAGAGAUGCGGCGGAACACCGGUGGCGAAGGCGGGACUCUGGGCCGAUACUGACGCUGAGGAGCGAAAGCGUGGGGAGCAAACGGG